Portunus trituberculatus (swimming crab) is the source of this 663-nucleotide long non-coding RNA. RefSeq lists it as uncharacterized. Lineage: Eukaryota; Metazoa; Arthropoda; Malacostraca; Decapoda; Portunidae. The record is from RefSeq and is a predicted model, not a curated record. The transcript is spliced from 2 exons.
AGCGAGCGAGAGAGAGAGAGAGAGAGAGAGAGAGAGAGAGAGAGAGAGAGAGAGAGAGAGAGAGAGAGAAUAUUUGUCAAAACCGGUGAUUUUUAUGCUAACCAAUCAAUUUCUUUUCUCUAUUUAACAACAAUCCCUCCUUGAUCCCAAAGAAACCUAGCCAAACUUAACCUAACCCAACCUAACUUAAUCUAACCUUACCAAACCAAACUUUACCCAAUCCAAAAAUAAAUAUAAACUUAACCUAACCUAAGCUAACUUAACCCAACCAACCACCAUCCACGAGACACAUGUAGCUUGUAACGGCGAGGCGUGGAGGAGUAAAGACUUGUGGUAACCUUUCCCUUGUGAGUGUGACCGGUGCUAAGGGAUGGGGCGCCCUUUAUUGUACAUACCCUUGCUCACUCACUUCUGUUCAUUCUUGUACAGUCCCUCCCCCCCCUCUGUAGCUUUAACAGAAAACGAUACCCAUUUUCUCCUUUCAAUGGAGAACUGUGGUGUUUUGUACGUAUGCAUGUUUAUGUAUGUAUGUGUGUGUGUUUAUAUUUAAUUUAUAUCGUCUUUUUAUAUACGAGUACUACUAUGUGUGUUUUGAAAUAUAGUGAGGCCUGUAAGAGUUUAUACAAAUCAAAUGUGAUGUAAUAAAAAAAAUUAAAUAAUGUA